AGAAGAAUGAAGGUCGACCAAGUAGGCCAUUUUCAUAAGACUCAACACUACAUCUACCUCCUUAAAAGUGACUGACAAUCAACAUGCAGGUAUUUUCAACACUACACAAGCUACACUAUUCCCUGGCUUGGACGUGUGAUGAACUCAGUACCUGUCCAGAUUGGAUUCAGAUCUAUCAGCAGCCCACAGGGAUCUCAAGUGUCUUUAACUAAAAGAAAUACACACUGAAAAGGUGCAAGUGCAAUUUAUUGGCAACUGUUUUCUUUAACCAAAAUGCUUUUCUUCUAAUGCCCCCUGGUGGCUAUGAUGAGUAUCAAGAUUAUGUAGAAGCACUAAGAAAUCUGUUCAGUUACUGGGUGAAUCUCACAAAACUUCAUAUAUGUAGAAACACAAGAUAGUUUGAAAGUUACUACAGAGAUUAAAGGAACAGUUUGCGAAGAAAUAUUAAUGCAAUUUUUACUCACUUUCAUGUUGUUCCAAAUCCAAAUGCUGUUUUUAUUUCCAUGGAACACAGAGCUGUUUUUGGUACAACAAAGAAUGCCUAAAAAGGACAAAAAAGAGACCAUAAACACAUUAUACCUUAGUGUAUAAGCACACAAAAGAACACGCAUAUAAAGCUCACUUGUCCAGGUCACAUUUCAUCUUAAAAUAAAUAAAUAUAAAUACACUGAAAGAACAUUAAGAAAAUGAAGCCUAUUUUUGACCAUUGUAUUGUGACAUUGUCUCAUCUAAUACAGUAAAUCGAAUUACA
Long non-coding RNA from Cyprinus carpio carpio, 751 nucleotides. The record is from Ensembl. NCBI's taxonomy places the organism in Eukaryota, Metazoa, Chordata, Actinopteri, Cypriniformes, Cyprinidae.